Molecule: ribosomal RNA, 310 nt
Filed under: uncultured bacterium
Lineage: Bacteria
Description: bacterial SSU rRNA
Rfam family: Bacterial small subunit ribosomal RNA
Source: RNAcentral
CGUAACUACCCGUGCCAGCAGCCGCGGUAAUACGGAGGGUGCGAGCGUUAAUCGGAAUUACUGGGCGUAAAGCGCAUGCAGGCGGCCUGUUAAGUCAGAUGUGAAAGACCCGGGGCGUUAACCUCGGAAUUGCAUUUGAAACUAGGCAGGCUAGAGUCUUGUAGAGGGGGGUAGGAAGUUUACUAGGUGUAGCGGUGAAAUAGCGUAGAGAUCUGAAGGAAUACCAGUGGCGAAGGCGGCCCCCCUCGGACAAAGACUGACGCUCAGAUGCGAAAGCGUGGGGAGCAAACAGGAUUAGAUACCCUGGUAG